This 460-nucleotide ribosomal RNA is filed under the name uncultured bacterium. RNAcentral describes it as "partial 16S ribosomal RNA". It matches the Rfam family "Bacterial small subunit ribosomal RNA", at positions 338 to 795 of the family's 1533-position model. The record is from RNAcentral.
CCUACGGGCGGCUGCAGUGAGGAAUAUUGGUCAAUGGCCGUAAGGCUGAACCAGCCAAGUCGCGUGAAGGAAGAAGGAUCUAUGGUUUGUAAACUUCUUUUAUAGGGGAAUAAAGGUAUCCACGUGUGGAUAUUUGCAUGUACCCUAUGAAUAAGCAUCGGCUAAAUCCGUGCCAGCAGCCGUGGUAAUACGGAGGAAGCAAGCGUUAUCCGGAUUUAUUGGGUUUAAAGGGUGCGUAGGUUGUUUUUUAAGUCAGCGGUGAAAGUUUGUGGCUCAACCAGAGAAUUGCCGUUGAAACUGGAGAACUUGAGUGUGUAAGAGGUAAGCGGAAUGCGUGGUGUAGCGGUGAAAUGCAUAGAUAUCACGCAGAACUCCGAUUGCGAAGGCAGCUUACUGGGCCAUAACUGACGCUGAAGCACGAAAGCGUGGGGAUCGAACAGGAUUAGAUACCCCAGUAGUC